Molecule: ribosomal RNA, 468 nt
Filed under: uncultured bacterium
Lineage: Bacteria
Description: partial 16S ribosomal RNA
Rfam family: Bacterial small subunit ribosomal RNA
Source: RNAcentral
GACGAACGCUGGCGGCGUGCUUAACACAUGCAAGUCGAACGGAAAGGUCCUGCUUUUGUGGGGUGCUCGAGUGGCGAACGGGUGAGUAACACGUGAGUAACCUGCCCUUGACUCUGGGAUAACUUCAGGAAACCGGGGCUAAUACCGGAUAGGAGCUCCUGCUGCAUGGUGGGGGUUGGAAAGUUUCGGCGGUUGGGGAUGGACGCGCGGCUUAUCAGCCUGUUGGUGGGGUAGUGGCUUACCAAGGCCUUGACGGGUAGCCGGCCUGAGAGGGUGACCGGCCACAUUGGGACUGAGAUGCGGCCCAGACUCCUACGGGAGGCAGCAGUGGGGAAUAUUGCACAAUGGGCGGAAGCCUGAUGCAGCAACGCCGCGUGCGGGAUGACGGCCUUCGGGUUGUAAACCGCUUUCGCCUGUGACGAAGCGUGAGUGACGGUAAUGGGUAAAGAAGCACCGGCUAACUACGUG